Molecule: ribosomal RNA, 497 nt
Filed under: uncultured bacterium
Lineage: Bacteria
Description: partial 16S ribosomal RNA
Rfam family: Bacterial small subunit ribosomal RNA
Source: RNAcentral
GAUGAACGCUGGCGGCGUGCCUAAUACAUGCAAGUCGAGCGAACGGACGAGAAGCUUGCUUCUCUGAUGUUAGCGGCGGACGGGUGAGUAACACGUGGAUAACCUACCUAUAAGACUGGGAUAACUUCGGGAAACCGGAGCUAAUACCGGAUAAUAUUUUGAACCGCAUGGUUCAAAAGUGAAAGACGGUCUUGCUGUCACUUAUAGAUGGAUCCGCGCUGCAUUAGCUAGUUGGUAAGGUAACGGCUUACCAGGGCAACGAUGCAUAGCCGACCUGAGAGGGUGAUCGGCCACACUGGAACUGAGACACGGUCCAGACUCCUACGGGAGGCAGCAGUAGGGAAUCUUCCGCAAUGGGCGAAAGCCUGACGGAGCAACGCCGCGUGAGUGAUGAAGGUCUUCGGAUCGUAAAACUCUGUUAUUAGGGAAGAACAUAUGUGUAAGUAACUGUGCACAUCUUGACGGUACCUAAUCAGAAAGCCACGGCUAACUACGUG